GAUGAACGCUGGCGGUGUGCCUAAUACAUACAAGUCGAGCGAACAGACGAGGAGCUUACUCCUCUGACGUUAGCGGCGGACGGGUGAGUAACACGUGGAUAACCUACCUAUAAGACUGGGAUAACUUCGGGAAACCGGAGCUAAUACCGGAUAACAUGUUGAACCGCAUGGUUCAACAGUGAAAGACGGUCUUGCUGUCACUUAUAGAUGGAUCCGCGUCGCAUUAGCUAGUUGGUAAGGUAACGGCUUACCAAGGCAACGAUGCGUAGCCGACCUGAGAGGGUGAUCGGCCACACUGGAACUGAGACACGGUCCAGACUCCUACGGGAGGCAGCAGUAGGGAAUCUUCCGCAAUGGGCGAAAGCCUGACGGAGCAACGCCGCGUGAGUGAAGAAGGUCUUCGGAUCGUAAAACUCUGUUAUUAGGGAAGAACAAAUGUGUAAGUAACUAUGCACGUCUUGACGGUACCUAAUCAGAAAGCCACGGCUAACUACGUG
This 497-nucleotide ribosomal RNA is filed under the name uncultured bacterium. Its description in RNAcentral is "partial 16S ribosomal RNA". It matches the Rfam family "Bacterial small subunit ribosomal RNA", at positions 28 to 507 of the family's 1533-position model. The record is from RNAcentral.